This 452-nucleotide ribosomal RNA is filed under the name uncultured Fluviicola sp. Its description in RNAcentral is "bacterial SSU rRNA". It matches the Rfam family "Bacterial small subunit ribosomal RNA", at positions 342 to 791 of the family's 1533-position model. Lineage: Bacteria; Pseudomonadati; Bacteroidota; Flavobacteriia; Flavobacteriales; Crocinitomicaceae. The record is from RNAcentral.
CGGGGGGCAGCAGUGAGGAAUAUUGGUCAAUGGGCGCAAGCCUGAACCAGCCAUGCCGCGUGAAGGAUGAAGGUUCUAUGGAUUGUAAACUUCUUUUAUUUGGGAAUAAACCUCUUUACGUGUAGAGAGCUGAAGGUACCAAACGAAUAAGCACCGGCUAACUCCGUGCCAGCAGCCGCGGUAAUACGGAGGGUGCAAGCGUUAUCCGGAAUCAUUGGGUUUAAAGGGUCCGCAGGCGGAUGUAUAAGUCAGUGGUGAAAUCUCUCGGCUCAACCGAGAAACUGCCAUUGAUACUGUACGUCUUGAAUUCGGUCGAAGUGGGCGGAAUAUGACAUGUAGCGGUGAAAUGCUUAGAUAUGUCAUAGAACACCGAUAGCGAAGGCAGCUCACUAGGCCUGGAUUGACGCUCAGGGACGAAAGCGUGGGGAGCAAACAGGAUUAGAUACCCGAGU